CCUUGAAAUACCACCCUUUAAUGUUUGAUGUUCUAACGUGGAUCCGUAAUCCGGGUUGCGGACAGUGUCUGGUGGGUAGUUUGACUGGGGCGGUCUCCUCCUAAAGAGUAACGGAGGAGCACGAAGGUUGGCUAAUCCUGGUCGGACAUCAGGAGGUUAGUGCAAUGGCAUAAGCCAGCUUGACUGCGAGCGUGACGGCGCGAGCAGGUGCGAAAGCAGGUCAUAGUGAUCCGGUGGUUCUGAAUGGAAGGGCCAUCGCUCAACGGAUAAAAGGUACUCCGGGGAUAACAGGCUGAUACCGCCCAAGAGUUCAUAUCGACGGCGGUGUUUGGCACCUCGAUGUCGGCUCAUCACAUCCUGGGGCUGAAGUAGGUCCCAAGGGUAUGGCUGUUCGCCAUUUAAAGUGGUACGCGAGCUGGGUUUAGAACGUCGUGAGACAGUUCGGUCCCUAUCUGCCGUGGGCGCUGGAGAACUGAGGGGGGCUGCUCCUAGUACGAGAGGACCGGAGUGGACGCAUCACUGGUGUUCGGGUUGUCAUGCCAAUGGCACUGCCCGGUAGCUAAAUGCGGAAGAGAUAAGUGCUGAAAGCAUCUAAGCACGAAACUUGCCCCGAGAUGAGUUCUCCCUGAGACUUAGAGUCUCCUGAAGGAACGUUGAAGACGACGACGUUGAUAGGCCGGGUGUGUAAGCGCAGCGAUGCGUUGAGCUAACCGGUACUAAUGAACCGUGAGGCUUAACCUUACAACGCCGAAG
This 753-nucleotide ribosomal RNA is filed under the name Salmonella enterica subsp. enterica serovar Infantis. RNAcentral describes it as "partial 23S ribosomal RNA". It matches the Rfam family "Bacterial large subunit ribosomal RNA", at positions 2190 to 2925 of the family's 2925-position model. The record is from RNAcentral. Lineage: Bacteria; Pseudomonadati; Pseudomonadota; Gammaproteobacteria; Enterobacterales; Enterobacteriaceae.